UAUUAUUAAUAGCAUACAAUAAAGAUUGGAGAUUACGAACAACAGUUUAAACACCAAAGAAUUUGGCGGUGUCUUAUAUAAUUAGGGGAACCUGUCCUAUAACUCGAUAAUCCACGUAUAUUCCACCUAUAUUUGAAAUUCAGUUAGUGUACUGCCGUAACAAGUAUACCUUUAUGAGUGUAUACAAAUAAUUAUUAAUCAAUUUAACGUCAGGUCAAAGUGCUGCCUAUAUAUAGGAAGAGAUGGGUUACAACCUAAACACAGAUAUGAAUCAAAAUAAUAAUUAUUUUGUGAAAGUGGACUUAAUAGUAAUUAUAUUAAUAAUAUAAUGAAAUAUUACCUAAGACAAGU
This 351-nucleotide ribosomal RNA is filed under the name Oligobdella brasiliensis. RNAcentral's name for it is "partial 12S ribosomal RNA". It matches the Rfam family "Bacterial small subunit ribosomal RNA", at positions 874 to 1384 of the family's 1533-position model. Lineage: Eukaryota; Metazoa; Annelida; Clitellata; Rhynchobdellida; Glossiphoniidae. The record is from RNAcentral.